CGAAAAGACUGCUUGAAAAAAAUCUACCAUAAGACUUAUUCAAGUUAUUUAAUUGCUUUUCCCCCAGGUUAAGAUAUUGGCAACUUAUUAUCAAAAUUUGCCAGAAUAGAAAUAGAAAUUGGCGUAUUGUUAUCGUUUACUUUUCUACAUUGGCUACAGGUAUAGGGGGAGGGUUGAGAUCUCAUAAACAUGUUAAACCCACA
RNAcentral lists this long non-coding RNA (203 nucleotides) under Mytilus galloprovincialis (Mediterranean mussel). Lineage: Eukaryota; Metazoa; Mollusca; Bivalvia; Mytilida; Mytilidae. The record is from RNAcentral.